GGACGAUUAGCUCAGUGGUAGAGCACUUCCUUCACACGGAAGGGGUCGUUGGUCCAACUCCAACAUCGUCUA
This 72-nucleotide transfer RNA is filed under the name Treponema sp. RNAcentral's name for it is "tRNA-Val". It matches the Rfam family "tRNA". From Rfam's summary of the family: Transfer RNA (tRNA) molecules are approximately 80 nucleotides in length. Their secondary structure includes four short double-helical elements and three loops (D, anti-codon, and T loops). RNAcentral also lists the same sequence under 1 other name. The record is from RNAcentral. Lineage: Bacteria; Pseudomonadati; Spirochaetota; Spirochaetia; Treponematales; Treponemataceae.